RNAcentral lists this transfer RNA (73 nucleotides) under Pangasianodon hypophthalmus (striped catfish). It matches the Rfam family "tRNA". Rfam says of the family: Transfer RNA (tRNA) molecules are approximately 80 nucleotides in length. Their secondary structure includes four short double-helical elements and three loops (D, anti-codon, and T loops). The record is from Rfam by way of RNAcentral. Lineage: Eukaryota; Metazoa; Chordata; Actinopteri; Siluriformes; Pangasiidae.
GGCUCUAUAGUGUAGUGGUCAUCACAUCUGCUUUAUAUGUAGAAGGUCCUGGGUUCAAUCCCCUGUGAGACCA